UAUCUCUGUAGAGUCUGCAUAUCAAUAAGCGGAGGAAAAGAAACUAACUAGGAUUCCCUUAGUAACGGCGAGUGAAGCGGGAAGAGCUCAAAUUUGAAAUCUUCAAGGUUCUACCUUGACGAAUUGUAGUUUAAAGAAGUGUUUUCUGUUGGAGUUUUGGUAAAAGUUCUUUGGAAUAGGACAUCAUAGAGGGUGAGAAUCCCGUAUUUGACCAUUAUUUUCAGCUGUGUGAUACACUUUCAAAGAGUCGGAUUGUUUGGGAAUGCAGUCCAAAAUGGGUGGUAAAUUUCAUCUAAAGCUAAAUACUGGCGAGAGACCGAUAGCGAACAAGUACCGUGAGGGAAAGAUGAAAAGAACUUUGAAAAGAGAGUUAAACAGUACGUGAAAUUGUCAAAAGGGAAGCGUUUGACACCAGUGUUGUUUUCUCGAAAAUCAAUUAAAAAUGGUGGAUGUUGUGUUGUAUUGACUUUAUCAGCUUUCUGCACUUUUUUCUUGUCUUUUUUAAUGCACUUUUCGUUUAACAAGUCAACAUCAAUUUCUUUUGUUGUAAAAGAGUCAUUGGAAGGUGGCUUUCCUUUCGGAGAAAGUGUUUAUAGCCUUUGCCUCUGCAAUCGGAGAGAUUGAGGUCUGCAGCGUAGAUCCUUCGGGGUUAGAUACAUUUGUGCUAAGUUAUAGCUUUUCAUAGACAACUUGUUGACUAUGUUUAGUCUUGUAGCUUACUCGCUUAUGCUAUUUUACCUACGCUUAGGAUGUUGAGUAGCGACAUACGCAC
RNAcentral lists this ribosomal RNA (772 nucleotides) under uncultured Neocallimastigales. RNAcentral's name for it is "partial large subunit ribosomal RNA". It matches the Rfam family "Eukaryotic large subunit ribosomal RNA", at positions 24 to 649 of the family's 3401-position model. Lineage: Eukaryota; Fungi; Neocallimastigomycota; Neocallimastigomycetes; Neocallimastigales. The record is from RNAcentral.